AGGACGAACGCUGGCGGCGUGCUUAACACAUGCAAGUCGAGCGGAAAGGCCUUUCGGGGUACUCGAGCGGCGAACGGGUGAGUAACACGUGAGUAAUCUGCCCAUCGCUUCAGGAUAGCCAUCGGAAACGGUGAUUAAUACUGGAUAUGACAUUCCUUCGCAUGUUGGGGUGUGGAAAGUUUUUUCGGCGGUGGAUGUGCUCGCGGCCUAUCAGCUUGUUGGUGGGGUAAUGGCUACCAAGGCUUUGACGGGUAGCCGGCCUGAGAGGGUGACCGGCCACACUGGGACUGAGACACGGCCCAGACUCCUACGGGAGGCAGCAGUGGGGAAUAUUGGACAAUGGGGCGGAAGCUGAUCCAGCAACGCCGCGUGA
RNAcentral lists this ribosomal RNA (373 nucleotides) under uncultured soil bacterium. Its description in RNAcentral is "bacterial SSU rRNA". It matches the Rfam family "Bacterial small subunit ribosomal RNA", at positions 26 to 404 of the family's 1533-position model. The record is from RNAcentral.